This 430-nucleotide long non-coding RNA is filed under the name Gallus gallus (chicken). Its description in RNAcentral is "lncRNA (ENSGALG00010013522.1)". The record is from RNAcentral. Lineage: Eukaryota; Metazoa; Chordata; Aves; Galliformes; Phasianidae.
CUCGGUCUUUACAUUUUAUACAGUUCCCCAGCUUGCUGGCUGCCUUUACCACUGAAUAAGAGGCAGGCUUCCAUCACACUGCCAUCAGCAGUGCUGGGAUUUCUCCUUUUGUUUCUCUUGUCCACAGGACCCUUAGAAGUCUCCCUUACAGCCCACAUCACACCUCCAGCAGUGGCAAUCUCCUGUGCAUGCGUCAGACAGCCCUCCUACACCUGGGCUGAGAGCAGCACCCCACACGGGCUGACACAAUGCCUGGGAUGUGUGUCAUGAUUCGUGGCACACAGCCUCACCGAUGCAGUGGCAUGACCUGCUGAGCUGUGUGGGACAUUUGCUCUGUGAUGAGAUUUUAGGAAUGGACACUUAGAAGCACACACACAGCAACACUUCCGUGACGUAAAGUCUUAGAAAGCCCAGACAUUUCCCGCAGGAC